This 253-nucleotide ribosomal RNA is filed under the name uncultured bacterium. RNAcentral describes it as "partial 16S ribosomal RNA". It matches the Rfam family "Bacterial small subunit ribosomal RNA", at positions 524 to 776 of the family's 1533-position model. The record is from RNAcentral.
UACGGAGGAUCCAAGCGUUAUCCGGAUUCAUUGGGUUUAAAGGGUGCGUAGGCGGACUUGUAAGUCAGUGGUGAAAUCCUACAGCUUAACUGUAGAACUGCCAUUGAUACUGCUAGUCUUGAGUACAGUUGAUGUGGAUGGAAUGUGUCAUGUAGCGGUGAAAUGCUUAGAUAUGACACAGAACACCGAUCGCGAAGGCAGUUCACAAAACUGGUACUGACGCUGAGGCACGAAAGCGUGGGGAUCAAACAGG